UGCAGGUUUAGCUCAAAUGGUAGAGCAAUUGCUUUGCAUGCAAUAGGCACUAGGAUCAAUACCCAGAAUUGCAA
This 74-nucleotide transfer RNA is filed under the name Basidiobolus meristosporus CBS 931.73. RNAcentral's name for it is "tRNA-Ala". It matches the Rfam family "tRNA". From Rfam's summary of the family: Transfer RNA (tRNA) molecules are approximately 80 nucleotides in length. Their secondary structure includes four short double-helical elements and three loops (D, anti-codon, and T loops). Lineage: Eukaryota; Fungi; Basidiobolomycota; Basidiobolomycetes; Basidiobolales; Basidiobolaceae. The record is from RNAcentral.